This 24-nucleotide non-coding RNA is filed under the name Arabidopsis thaliana (thale cress). Lineage: Eukaryota; Viridiplantae; Streptophyta; Magnoliopsida; Brassicales; Brassicaceae. The record is from RNAcentral.
CGGCUCAGCCGGAGGUAGGGUCCA